GCUAAUGAUGUACACGUCUUUACUCCCCACUUCUCCACUCCACCAAUUUCCCCACCACACUCAAAGUAUCAGCACCAACACCAACCCCACCUCACCAAACAUCCCACUCCACCAACUCCAUUAUCUUUUGCUCCCCACCAAAUCCUUCUCCCUUCUUACUCAAUAGAUCGCCAGUGGAGCUGUUUAAGAAAAUCCAAUUCGUAUAUUCCAACAGAAUGUUUACAGCAAGCUCAUGCCAACAUCAAAACCAAGUUUCACACAGAAAAAAAAACACCCGAAAUAACAUCUAUAAUCUCCGAGAUCUCCUUAUUCAAACAGUAUAUGCCAACAAAUUUUCACCAAGAAGAAGAAAACAGAUCAGCCAAUCAAGCACAAAUAGACAAGGUCAAGCGCGAGAGUAAGAACUAUUCAAGAAGUCACAGUACUUAGCAAAACUUUGCUAUCAGGUUGAGCUGUGAUGGGCGAUGAAGUGUUGUUGCUGAGUGGAGUUUUUGUCGAACUUAAAGUAGGCUCAGAAAGGAUACAUGUCUUCAUACAUGUAUCUCAGUUAUGCAUUCCGCUAUAAACACUGAUUAUUUCAGUUACAUCUUCCGUUGCAAACUCUGAUAAUGUUUUAGCCAAGCCCCUAACGAUGCCUUUUUCCUUUUUAAGGAAUAUAACGCGUAUACAAGUUCUUUGAGUACCCUUUUUAUGCGACCUAUGCCUUUUUCCUUUUUAAGGAAUAUUUCACGCGUAUUCAA
Molecule: long non-coding RNA, 740 nt
Organism: Salvia miltiorrhiza (redroot sage)
Lineage: Eukaryota; Viridiplantae; Streptophyta; Magnoliopsida; Lamiales; Lamiaceae
Exons: 3
Source: RefSeq, a predicted model, not a curated record